RNAcentral lists this ribosomal RNA (465 nucleotides) under uncultured bacterium. RNAcentral's name for it is "partial 16S ribosomal RNA". It matches the Rfam family "Bacterial small subunit ribosomal RNA", at positions 28 to 507 of the family's 1533-position model. The record is from RNAcentral.
GACGAACGCUGGCGGCGUGCUUAACACAUGCAAGUCGAACGGAAAGGCCCUGCUUGCAGGGUACUCGAGUGGCGAACGGGUGAGUAACACGUGGGUGAUCUGCCCUGCACUUCGGGAUAAGCUUGGGAAACUGGGUCUAAUACCGGAUAGGACCGCACUUUAGUGUGUGUGGUGGAAAGUUUUUUCGGUGUAGGAUGAGCUCGCGGCCUAUCAGCUUGUUGGUGGGGUAAUGGCCUACCAAGGCGGCGACGGGUAGCCGGCCUGAGAGGGUGUACGGCCACAUUGGGACUGAGAUACGGCCCAGACUCCUACGGGAGGCAGCAGUGGGGAAUAUUGCACAAUGGGCGCAAGCCUGAUGCAGCGACGCCGCGUGGGGGAUGAAGGCCCUCGGGUUGUAAACUCCUUUCGCUAGGGACGAAGCUUUUUGUGACGGUACCUAGAUAAGAAGCACCGGCUAACUACGUG